AAAAGUCACAGAAAACUGAAAACAGAAAGCAUUUAGCGCAUUGCGGAGGAUCGCCACUCGCUGUGUCUAGAUGAAAAUAUAACGAAAUUAAAUUAAUUACAAUCAUUAUCGCUCCAUGCACACCUGCUGAAGGUGAGGAUACCAGGGACUACGACGCCGGAAAACCAGAAGCAAUAAAGUUAAUUUGUUCCUGAUUCUGGCACCUCCGGCAAUCUUUGUUUGUCCGAGUCGAAAGUAAUUAAAUCUAUAUGUUUGAUGCAUUUUUGCUGAAAAAUGAA
Drosophila rhopaloa is the source of this 278-nucleotide long non-coding RNA. RefSeq lists it as uncharacterized. The record is from RefSeq and is a predicted model, not a curated record. The transcript has 2 exons. Lineage: Eukaryota; Metazoa; Arthropoda; Insecta; Diptera; Drosophilidae.